RNAcentral lists this ribosomal RNA (328 nucleotides) under uncultured Lactobacillus sp. Its description in RNAcentral is "bacterial SSU rRNA". It matches the Rfam family "Bacterial small subunit ribosomal RNA", at positions 209 to 525 of the family's 1533-position model. Lineage: Bacteria; Bacillati; Bacillota; Bacilli; Lactobacillales; Lactobacillaceae. The record is from RNAcentral.
UAGCUAUCACUCUUGGAUGGACCUGCGGUGCAUUAGCUAGUUGGUAGGGUAACGGUCCUACCAAGGCGAUGAUGCAUAGCCGACGUUGAGAGACUGAUCGGCCACAUUGGGACUGAGACACGGCCCAAACUCCUACGGGAGGCAGCAGUAGGGAAUCUUCCACAAUGGACGCAAGUCUGAUGGAGCAACGCCGCGUGAGUGAAGAAGGGUUUCGGCUCGUAAAGCUCUGUUGUUGGUGAAGAAGGACAGGGGUAGUAACUGACCUUUGUUUUGACGGUAAUCAAUUAGAAAGUCACGGGCUAACUACGUGUCAGCAGCCGCGGUAAAU